Molecule: ribosomal RNA, 2376 nt
Filed under: Salmonella enterica subsp. enterica serovar Enteritidis
Lineage: Bacteria; Pseudomonadati; Pseudomonadota; Gammaproteobacteria; Enterobacterales; Enterobacteriaceae
Description: partial 23S ribosomal RNA
Rfam family: Bacterial large subunit ribosomal RNA
Source: RNAcentral
GGUUUACCUGUGUGACUGCGUACCUUUUGUAUAAUGGGUCAGCGACUUAUAUUCUGUAGCAAGGUUAACCGAAUAGGGGAGCCGGAGGGAAACCGAGUCUUAAUUGGGCGUUAAGUUGCAGGGUAUAGACCCGAAACCCGGUGAUCUAGCCAUGGGCAGGUUGAAGGUUGGGUAACACUAACUGGAGGACCGAACCGACUAAUGUUGAAAAAUUAGCGGAUGACCUGUGGCUGGGGGUGAAAGGCCAAUCAAACCGGGAGAUAGCUGGUUCUCCCCGAAAGCUAUUUAGGUAGCGCCUCGUGAAUUCAUCUCCGGGGGUAGAGCACUGUUUCGGCUAGGGGGCCAUCCCGGCUUACCAACCCGAUGCAAACUGCGAAUACCGGAGAAUGUUAUCACGGGAGACACACGGCGGGUGCUAACGUCCGUCGUGAAGAGGGAAACAACCCAGACCGCCAGCUAAGGUCCCAAAGUCAUGGUUAAGUGGGAAACGAUGUGGGAAGGCCCAGACAGCCAGGAUGUUGGCUUAGAAGCAGCCAUCAUUUAAAGAAAGCGUAAUAGCUCACUGGUCGAGUCGGCCUGCGCGGAAGAUGUAACGGGGCUAAACCAUGCACCGAAGCUGCGGCAGCGACACUGUGUGUUGUUGGGUAGGGGAGCGUUCUGUAAGCCUGUGAAGGUGUGUCGUGAGGCAUGCUGGAGGUAUCAGAAGUGCGAAUGCUGACAUAAGUAACGAUAAAGCGGGUGAAAAGCCCGCUCGCCGGAAGACCAAGGGUUCCUGUCCAACGUUAAUCGGGGCAGGGUGAGUCGACCCCUAAGGCGAGGCCGAAAGGCGUAGUCGAUGGGAAACGGGUUAAUAUUCCCGUACUUGGUGUUACUGCGAAGGGGGGACGGAGAAGGCUAUGUUGGCCGGGCGACGGUUGUCCCGGUUUAAGCGUGUAGGUGUGUGUUCCAGGUAAAUCCGGUUCACUUUAACACUGAGGCGUGACGACGAGGCACUACGGUGCUGAAGCAACAAAUGCCCUGCUUCCAGGAAAAGCCUCUAAGCAUCAGGUAACAUCAAAUCGUACCCCAAACCGACACAGGUGGUCAGGUAGAGAAUACCAAGGCGCUUGAGAGAACUCGGGUGAAGGAACUAGGCAAAAUGGUGCCGUAACUUCGGGAGAAGGCACGCUGACACGUAGGUGAAGUGAUUUACUCAUGGAGCUGAAGUCAGUCGAAGAUACCAGCUGGCUGCAACUGUUUAUUAAAAACACAGCACUGUGCAAACACGAAAGUGGACGUAUACGGUGUGACGCCUGCCCGGUGCCGGAAGGUUAAUUGAUGGGGUCAGCGCAAGCGAAGCUCCUGAUCGAAGCCCCGGUAAACGGCGGCCGUAACUAUAACGGUCCUAAGGUAGCGAAAUUCCUUGUCGGGUAAGUUCCGACCUGCACGAAUGGCGUAAUGAUGGCCAGGCUGUCUCCACCCGAGACUCAGUGAAAUUGAACUCGCUGUGAAGAUGCAGUGUACCCGCGGCAAGACGGAAAGACCCCGUGAACCUUUACUAUAGCUUGACACUGAACAUUGAGCCUUGAUGUGUAGGAUAGGUGGGAGGCUUUGAAGUGUGGACGCCAGUCUGCAUGGAGCCGACCUUGAAAUACCACCCUUUAAUGUUUGAUGUUCUAACGUGGACCCGUUACCCGGGUUGCGGACAGUGUCUGGUGGGUAGUUUGACUGGGGCGGUCUCCUCCUAAAGAGUAACGGAGGAGCACGAAGGUUGGCUAAUCCUGGUCGGACAUCAGGAGGUUAGUGCAAUGGCAUAAGCCAGCUUGACUGCGAGCGUGACGGCGCGAGCAGGUGCGAAAGCAGGUCAUAGUGAUCCGGUGGUUCUGAAUGGAAGGGCCAUCGCUCAACGGAUAAAAGGUACUCCGGGGAUAACAGGCUGAUACCGCCCAAGAGUUCAUAUCGACGGCGGUGUUUGGCACCUCGAUGUCGGCUCAUCACAUCCUGGGGCUGAAGUAGGUCCCAAGGGUAUGGCUGUUCGCCAUUUAAAGUGGUACGCGAGCUGGGUUUAGAACGUCGUGAGACAGUUCGGUCCCUAUCUGCCGUGGGCGCUGGAGAACUGAGGGGGGCUGCUCCUAGUACGAGAGGACCGGAGUGGACGCAUCACUGGUGUUCGGGUUGUCAUGCCAAUGGCACUGCCCGGUAGCUAAAUGCGGAAGAGAUAAGUGCUGAAAGCAUCUAAGCACGAAACUUGCCCCGAGAUGAGUUCUCCCUGAGACUUAGAGUCUCCUGAAGGAACGUUGAAGACGACGACGUUGAUAGGCCGGGUGUGUAAGCGCAGCGAUGCGUUGAGCUAACCGGUACUAAUGAACCGUGAGGCUUAACCUUACAACGCCGAAG